GAAGCGCGGCCGUCGCCCGCCGGGGAGCGGCGGGGCCGGGGGCGGCUUGGCAGCGGGGCCCUGCCGCGAAGCGGCCCUCGGCUCUGCGCUGCGGCGUAGCGGGUGCCGCCGCCCGCGCCGCUUGGGCGAGGCGGCAGGAGCCUCGCGGGGCGCCGCCGGUUCUGGGCGCCGGGCGCAGCGGCGGGGCGCAGCCGAGCGAGAGUGUCGCUGCCCGGCCGGGCGCAGCGGCGGCGCCGGGCGCGUCUCGCCGGGAGUGCUGUGUCAUUGCGCCAGGCGCAGCCGGAGGCGAGGCGCCUCGGUGAGCAAGAUUGGACUGGUUUAGAUGAAGAUGAAGAUGCACAUGUCUGGGAAGACAAUUGGGAUGAUGACAAUGUAGAAGACGAUUUCUCCAAUCAGUUAAGAGCUGAAUUAGAAAAACAUGGAUACAAGAUGGAAACCUCAU
Molecule: RNA transcript, 442 nt
Organism: Dromaius novaehollandiae (emu)
Lineage: Eukaryota; Metazoa; Chordata; Aves; Casuariiformes; Dromaiidae
Gene name: SEM1 26S proteasome subunit
Exons: 3
Source: RefSeq, a predicted model, not a curated record